GUCUAGGGCCAUACCACCUUGAAUGAGAUUUAUCUUGUCUGAUCUUGAAGACUAAGCAGGGUUGGGCCUGGUUAGUACUUGGAUGGGAGGCUCUGGGUACUGAGGAGUAAAGGUGCUUUUAAAA
Ribosomal RNA from Bos mutus (wild yak), 124 nucleotides. Lineage: Eukaryota; Metazoa; Chordata; Mammalia; Artiodactyla; Bovidae. The record is from Ensembl.